GACGAACGCUGGCGGCGUGCUUAACACAUGCAAGUCGAACGGAAAGGCCCUGCUUUUGUGGGGUGCUCGAGUGGCUAACGGGUGAGUAACACGUGAGUAACCUGCCCUUGACUUUGGUAUAACUUCAGGAAACUGGGGCUAAUACCGGAUAUGAGCUCCUGCUGCAUGGUGGUGGUUGGAAAGUUUCGGCGGUUGGGGAUGGACUCGCGGCUUAUCAGCUUGUUGGUGGGGUAGUGGCUUACCAAGGCUUUGACGGGUAGCCGGCCUGAGAGGGUGACCGGACAAAUUGGGACUGAGAUACGGCACAGAAUCCAACGGGAGGCAGAAGUGGGGAAUAUUGCACAAUGGGCGGAAGCCUGAUGCAGCAACGCCGGGAGCGGGAUGAAGGCCUUCGGGUUGUAAACCGAUUUCGCCUGUGACGAAGCGUGAGUGACGGUAAUGGGUAAAGAAGCACCGGCUAACUACGUG
RNAcentral lists this ribosomal RNA (468 nucleotides) under uncultured bacterium. Its description in RNAcentral is "partial 16S ribosomal RNA". It matches the Rfam family "Bacterial small subunit ribosomal RNA", at positions 28 to 507 of the family's 1533-position model. The record is from RNAcentral.